Molecule: ribosomal RNA, 492 nt
Filed under: uncultured bacterium
Lineage: Bacteria
Description: partial 16S ribosomal RNA
Rfam family: Bacterial small subunit ribosomal RNA
Source: RNAcentral
AGUGAACGCUGGCGGUAGGCCUAACACAUGCAAGUCGAACGGCAGCACAGUAAGAGCUUGCUCUUACGGGUGGCGAGUGGCGGACGGGUGAGGAAUACAUCGGAAUCUACUUUUUCGUGGGGGAUAACGUAGGGAAACUUACGCUAGUACCGCAUACGACCUACGGGUGAAAGCAGGGGAUCUUCGGACCUUGCGCGAUUGAAUGAGCCGAUGUCGGAUUAGCUAGUUGGCGGGGUAAAGGCCCACCAAGGCGACGAUCCGUAGCUGGUCUGAGAGGAUGAUCAGCCACACUGGAACUGAGACACGGUCCAGACUCCUACGGGAGGCAGCAGUGGGGAAUAUUGGACAAUGGGCGCAAGCCUGAUCCAGCCAUACCGCGUGGGUGAAGAAGGCCUUCGGGUCGUAAAGCCCUUUUGUUGGGAAAGAAAAGCAGCAGGUUAAUACCCCGCUGUUCUGACGGUACCCAAAGAAUAAGCACCGGCUAACUUCGUG